RNAcentral lists this unclassified non-coding RNA (203 nucleotides) under Hevea brasiliensis (rubber tree). Lineage: Eukaryota; Viridiplantae; Streptophyta; Magnoliopsida; Malpighiales; Euphorbiaceae. The record is from RNAcentral.
AAAAGGUUCCAAUUUAUAGAUGCUGACCAAUAAAAGCAUUGAAGUUUAUUUACUAGAUUGAAGCAAUGUGACACUUCGUUACCUUUGUGGAAAAAAAUGCCACCUUCCUAUGGGUAAUUCAUGGAGAAUGUAGAAUCCCUUUUUAUUCUCCCCUUUUUUCUUUGGGUAUUAGUAAGAACAGCAUGAACACUCUUCAUCCUGAA